Molecule: transfer RNA, 71 nt
Filed under: Dyscolus pollens
Lineage: Eukaryota; Metazoa; Arthropoda; Insecta; Coleoptera; Carabidae
Description: tRNA-Lys
Source: RNAcentral
CAUUAGAUGACUGAAGGCAAGUACUGGUCUCUUAAACCAUUUCAUAGUAGAUUAGCAACUACUUCUGAUGG